This 253-nucleotide ribosomal RNA is filed under the name uncultured bacterium. Its description in RNAcentral is "partial 16S ribosomal RNA". It matches the Rfam family "Bacterial small subunit ribosomal RNA", at positions 524 to 776 of the family's 1533-position model. The record is from RNAcentral.
UACAGAGGGGGCAAGCGUUAUUCGGAAUUAUUGGGCGUAAAGGGCGCGUAGGCGGCUUGGCAAGUGGAUGGUGAAAUCCCUCGGCUUAACCGAGGAACGGCCGUCCAAACUGCUUCGCUUGAGACCGGGAGAGGUGAGUGGAAUUCCCAGUGUAGCGGUGAAAUGCGUAGAUAUUGGGAGGAACACCAGUGGCGAAGGCGGCUCACUGGACCGGUACUGACGCUGAGACGCGAAAGCGUGGGGAGCAAACAGG